RNAcentral lists this ribosomal RNA (490 nucleotides) under uncultured bacterium. RNAcentral's name for it is "partial 16S ribosomal RNA". It matches the Rfam family "Bacterial small subunit ribosomal RNA", at positions 30 to 507 of the family's 1533-position model. The record is from RNAcentral.
AUUGAACGCUGGCGGCAGGCCUAACACAUGCAAGUCGAACGGUAACAGGAAACAGCUUGCUGUUUCGCUGACGAGUGGCGGACGGGUGAGUAAUGUCUGGGAAACUGCCUGAUGGAGGGGGAUAACUACUGGAAACGGUAGCUAAUACCGCAUAACGUCGCAAGACCAAAGAGGGGGACCUGCGGGCCUCUUGCCAUCGGAUGUGCCCAGAUGGGAUUAGCUAGUAGGUGGGGUAACGGCUCACCUAGGCGACGAUCCCUAGCUGGUCUGAGAGGAUGACCAGCCACACUGGAACUGAGACACGGUCCAGACUCCUACGGGAGGCAGCAGUGGGGAAUAUUGCACAAUGGGCGCAAGCCUGAUGCAGCCAUGCCGCGUGUAUGAAGAAGGCCUUCGGGUUGUAAAGUACUUUCAGCGGGGAGGAAGGGAGUAAAGUUAAUACCUUUGCUCAUUGACGUUACCCGCAGAAGAAGCACCGGCUAACUCCGUG